RNAcentral lists this ribosomal RNA (484 nucleotides) under uncultured bacterium. Its description in RNAcentral is "bacterial SSU rRNA". It matches the Rfam family "Bacterial small subunit ribosomal RNA", at positions 30 to 507 of the family's 1533-position model. The record is from RNAcentral.
UGAACGCUAGCGACAGGCUUAACACAUGCAAGUCGAGGGGUAACAGGGUAGCAAUACCGCUGACGACCGGCGCACGGGUGAGUAACGCGUAUGCAACCUGCCUAUAACUGGGGAAUAGCUCCCUGAAAGGGGAAUUAACACCGCAUAACACUAUUGAUUCGCAUGGAUUGGUAGUUAAAUGUAGCGAUACAGGUUAUAGAUGGGCAUGCGUGACAUUAGCUAGUUGGUGAGGUAACGGCUCACCAAGGCUACGAUGUCUAGGGGUUCUGAGAGGAAGGUCCCCCACACUGGUACUGAGACACGGACCAGACUCCUACGGGAGGCAGCAGUGAGGAAUAUUGGUCAAUGGGCGCAAGCCUGAACCAGCCAUGUCGCGUGCAGGAAGACUGCCCUAUGGGUUGUAAACUGCUUUUAUAGUAGAAGAAACACAUCUACGAGUAGAUGUCUGCCAGUAUACUAUGAAUAAGCAUCGGCUAACUCCGUG